GGGUGCUGGAUGGGAGCUCCCAGAAGGGUAAAAUUCAGCUUGAGGCAGUGAGAAGGGUGGAGGUACUGCAGGUACCAGGAGGCUGUUGGGGCACAAGAGCUCAGCUCAGGCUCUUCUCACAGGCUGUGUCAGGCAGGCAGCAGCUAGAGCCCAUCGCUGCCUCUUCAUCCAAAUGUUUGGCAGGGGGACAGGACCCAGAUGGGUUUGUCUGGGCUCGGUGCUUUGCGACAGCCUGGUAUGGCUUGUUUUGCUCUGCUUCCUUGUGAGCUCUUGUUUUGCAGUUCUGCAAUGCUUGGGAAGUGGAUGAGUUCGGUUCAGCCCAUUCCUGCUACCCUGGGAGUGACCACAGAUCGUCUGUGGCUGUGCAGGGACAAUUUGCUGCCCUUCAGGACCAGCCUGGCAGGAAGGCUCAGAGAGGCUUGGGUUUUGCAUCUCCAGAGGGUGCAAUUGCUCUGGUGUCGCCUGCAAGCUACGGGGUGGACCUGGCUCCUCCCCAGGCAAGCUUGGUUUGGAAGGAGCAUUCACCUCAGUGCUGCCCACCGGGUCACUAACUGGUAGGACAGCACCACUUGGGUCCCCAAAGCAUCACCGGCCUCUCCCCACCAAGGGCAAGGGUUCCCUGGUGCCCGUGGCCUGUUUUCAAAUGGCAGUGAGCGAUGCCGCCCCCGUGGGUUUUCCACUGGAGGGCUGGGAAUUUGCAUCCCUUCUUCCACAUUAUUGUUGUGCUGCCUUCGCUUCAGCAGGUGGGAGUCUAUAGCUUGCCAGGACGAUUUCGCAUUUCACAAAGGAGCCUUUUUGCCCACACGCCUUCGCAGUGGAAAGCUGAAAAAUUGUUCUGUUCCAGCCUAUUUAGUUUUAAUUGUUUCCUUUACUUCUCAUUGCCCGCAGCAAAAUAUCACCUUCCCCUAACAAACAGCCAGGCUGGGAGCCAGUCACCCUGCACAGCCACCGCCACCAAGACCACCAUGCCAUCCCUCCUGCCGGUCCCAUGGCUUCCAGGGGUCUCUUGCCUUUGCUGGGCAGGGGAGAAGUUGGCGGGAGGGAGAGAGAGGGUCAGCUGGUUCAGGUCCUUUGCACGUUCAUUUGGUUUGUCUGGAGGACUCCUAGGGUUAUACCUGAGAUGAAGACAUCUAGGGGACACUCCAUAGCUCAAUUAAAACAUGGUUGGUGUUUUGUGCCUAGAAGAGCCCUCGCUGACGGGAUUUGUCCAUGGCGGUCGCCCCACUCAGCAAGAGAGCAGCAUCCCUCCUCCGCUCGGCACAGGACUAUCUGAACCAAC
Molecule: long non-coding RNA, 1279 nt
Filed under: Calidris pygmaea (Spoon-billed sandpiper)
Lineage: Eukaryota; Metazoa; Chordata; Aves; Charadriiformes; Scolopacidae
Description: lncRNA (ENSCPGG00000004900.1)
Source: RNAcentral